This 558-nucleotide ribosomal RNA is filed under the name Geobacillus sp. Sah69. Its description in RNAcentral is "bacterial LSU rRNA". It matches the Rfam family "Bacterial large subunit ribosomal RNA", at positions 2372 to 2925 of the family's 2925-position model. The record is from RNAcentral. Lineage: Bacteria; Bacillati; Bacillota; Bacilli; Caryophanales; Anoxybacillaceae.
ACUGCGAGACGGACAGGUCGAGCAGGGACGAAAGUCGGGCUUAGUGAUCCGGUGGUUCCGCAUGGAAGGGCCAUCGCUCAACGGAUAAAAGCUACCCCGGGGAUAACAGGCUGAUCUCCCCCAAGAGUCCACAUCGACGGGGAGGUUUGGCACCUCGAUGUCGGCUCAUCGCAUCCUGGGGCUGUAGUCGGUCCCAAGGGUUGGGCUGUUCGCCCAUUAAAGCGGUACGCGAGCUGGGUUCAGAACGUCGUGAGACAGUUCGGUCCCUAUCCGUCGCGGGCGCAGGAAAUUUGAGAGGAGCUGUCCUUAGUACGAGAGGACCGGGAUGGACGCACCGCUGGUGUACCAGUUGUCCCGCCAGGGGCACCGCUGGGUAGCUAUGUGCGGACGGGAUAAGCGCUGAAAGCAUCUAAGCGUGAAGCCCCCCUCAAGAUGAGAUUUCCCACCGCGUCAGGCGGGUAAGAUCCCUCGAAGAUGACGAGGUCGAUAGGUCCGAGGUGGAAGCGUGGCGACACGUGGAGCUGACGGAUACUAAUCGAUCGAGGGCUUAACCAAGAA